AUUGAACGCUGGCGGCAGGCCUAACACAUGCAAGUCGAGCGAGCGGCGGACGGGUGAGUAAUGUAUGGGGACUGCCCGAUAGAGGGGGAUAACUACUGGAGACGGUGGCUAAUACCGCAUACUAUCGGAUAACCCAUAGGGGAUUAGCUAGUAGGUGGGGUAAAGGCUCACCUGGGCGACGAUCUCUAGCUUGUCUGAGAGGAUGAUCGGCCAAACGGGGACUGGAAAACGGCCCAGACUCCAACGGAGGCAGAAGGGGGGAAUAUUGCACAAUGGGCGCAGGCCGGAUGCAGCCAGGCCGCGGGUAUGAAGAAGGCCUUAGGGUUGUAAAGUACUUUCAGCGGGGAGGCGUUACCCGCAGAAGAAGCACCGGCUAACUCCGUGCCAGCAGCCGCGGUAAUUC
This 403-nucleotide ribosomal RNA is filed under the name uncultured bacterium. RNAcentral describes it as "partial 16S ribosomal RNA". It matches the Rfam family "Bacterial small subunit ribosomal RNA", at positions 29 to 526 of the family's 1533-position model. The record is from RNAcentral.